GGCUGAAAAGCAGAAUUGCCUUCCUCGCGCUGUUUAUGUCUACCAGACACACACUACUUGCUUUUUCAUUUGGAUUCAUUUUCUGCGCUGUCCUGAGAGAAAGGAGCGAAGCAAUUUUCUAUUUACUGCAAAAUUCCAACCUGGCUCCCCGGAGUCUUUGGGUGAUUUUCACCCUUGGAGCCUGCCAGCAGAAGGACUUGGUGUUUUUUUUUUUUCCCCAGCCACACGUGGAAGCAGUUGGUUUGGGUCCUUUGUAUUCUGUGGAUUAUAAAAGCUCUCUCCUGUAAGGAGCCUGGAAAAGGAAGCACACUAAUUAUUAUUAACUCUGCCAAAGCCAAUAAUAUCCUUGGGUAAUUAUUGGUUUACCCAAUUUUCCUGUGAGCCUACUGUGUAAAUACACCGUUGUGAAGAGGCUAUUACUUCCUCCACGCUCCACCUCGCCGUAGCACUGAUGGUUUGGGGCUGGUGAUGUGCCCGUCGUGAUCAGGGCUGUUAAUUUUGGCGGGCAAUCACCACCAGUAAUCAAACACAAAAUAGGAAACGGCCCAAAUCGAUGAGCUCCCUCCACCCUCCCAGUCCUCCCCCUUCUCUCCUCCCCAGCCUUCCCAAAGACCCCCAGCUGGGGCCGUUUGCCACCCCCGGGUGAAAUCCAGCAGGAGGGUCCCCAGGGACCACGGCCACCCCUCCAAGGCUUCCCGGGCUGGGACAGCAUCACGGCAGGGACUGUCCCACUGACUCCAGGUCCGUCCCUAAGCGGGACUUCCCCGGCCCCGGCGGGGCGCAGGGCGGGCAGGCAGCCGGCGGGGAGGAAGCGUGUCUCCCGGCAGGAGACCCCCGCCGCUCCCCCUUUCAUCACCGCUCAUUUAUUUGGAUUAGAGUCAGCUCUCUCCUGGAUCCUUUGUUCGCUGUUUGUUAUUCCACAUGCACCCGGCGCUGCGCGUUCAUCUUUAUUAGCUCUAAUUGCUUCCCCGUUCUAAUGGGAUCUCACUAUUCGCGUACAAUUGAAAGGAAAUGUAUUCAUUAAAAUAAUUCUCCUCCUAACUGUUGUUUGGGGCUGGUGCUGUCAGUGCCGCUCGCUGUGGUUUUCUCCCCGCCCGCUGCCGAACGCCGGACGGGACCGGGACACCGGCAAAGCCUCGUUAAUGAUUUGGUGUUAAUGUGAACUGUGGGCUGGGGUCAGUUUGGGCGAUGUUUGUUGUUGGAGGAAAAGGUCCCAAAGCCACCCCUGCUCGUGGUGCUAAGUGUGGGGAGCACGUGAAGGGGUGCCACGUGUGUGCCCCCUUCCAC
Molecule: long non-coding RNA, 1287 nt
Filed under: Calidris pygmaea (Spoon-billed sandpiper)
Lineage: Eukaryota; Metazoa; Chordata; Aves; Charadriiformes; Scolopacidae
Description: lncRNA (ENSCPGG00000014460.1)
Source: RNAcentral